UUUUUUAGCGAUUUAUUUUCUAGCACUUAAAACAUGUCCAUGGAUGCUACAAAAAUUGAUCAAAAGAUCAUUUGAAGACUCAAAGUUUUAAAAGGUUCGGUUCCAGGCAUCACGAUUACAUUAUUUGUGAAACAGGAGAGCAGAAGCCAGACAGGAAUGCUGCUUUGUCGAUUGAAGUAAAGGAUUCACCACACGUUUCUUAAUGGCAGGUGAGGUGUGCAGACAAAGUGGUGUUAACUACAGAGAAGCCCCUACAUGCCCCUGCUGCCCAAGUCCCGAGGCAGGGAAGGCUGUGCAUAGGGGUUGCAUU
Molecule: long non-coding RNA, 310 nt
Filed under: Bos taurus (domestic cattle)
Lineage: Eukaryota; Metazoa; Chordata; Mammalia; Artiodactyla; Bovidae
Description: long non-coding RNA NONBTAT006101
Source: RNAcentral